AGGACAGCACAGGUUUGGUUCAUCUGGAAGGGGCCUACAAAGACCAUCUAGUCCAACUGCCUGAUCUCUUCAGGGCUAAACAAAAUUUAAAGCAUAUUACUGAGGGCAUUAUCCACAUAUCUCUUGAACACUGAGAGGCAGGGGCAUCAACCACCUCUCAAGAAAGCCUGUUCCAGUGUUUGACCACCCUCACAGUAACAAACAUUUUCCUAAUGUCUAGUUUGAACCUCCUCAGGUGCAGCUUUGUGCCAUUUCCAUGCAUGACUAAGAAGGAGAGAUUGGCACCUUCUUCUCCAUUUCCCCUCCUCAGGAAGUUGCAGAGAGUGAUGAGAUGGCUCCUUUUCCUGUGUUUCAGAGUAUGCAGCAAUAACGUUGCCAUCUCCGAGCAAGUGAGUAUGGAUUGUGCUAUGGU
Molecule: long non-coding RNA, 412 nt
Organism: Cygnus olor (mute swan)
Lineage: Eukaryota; Metazoa; Chordata; Aves; Anseriformes; Anatidae
Exons: 3
Source: RefSeq, a predicted model, not a curated record